UACGUAGGGUGCGAGCGUUGUCCGGAAUUAUUGGGCGUAAAGGGCUCGUAGGCGGUUUGUCGCGUCGGGUGUGAAAACACCGGGCUUAACUCGGUGCUUGCUUUCGAUACGGGCAGACUAGAGGUAUGCAGGGGAGAACGGAAUUCCUGGUGUAGCGGUGAAAUGCGCAGAUAUCAGGAGGAACACCGGUGGCGAAGGCGGUUCUCUGGGCAUUUCCUGACGCUGAGGAGCGAAAGUGUGGGGAGCGAACAGG
Molecule: ribosomal RNA, 253 nt
Filed under: uncultured bacterium
Lineage: Bacteria
Description: partial 16S ribosomal RNA
Rfam family: Bacterial small subunit ribosomal RNA
Source: RNAcentral